This 1197-nucleotide long non-coding RNA is filed under the name Cyanistes caeruleus (blue tit). Its description in RNAcentral is "lncRNA (ENSCCEG00000005734.1)". Lineage: Eukaryota; Metazoa; Chordata; Aves; Passeriformes; Paridae. The record is from RNAcentral.
CGAAAUGUCAGAGCCUCUGAGGGGUCACAGCUCAGCCUCAGGACAUGGGAACGAGGCACAAAAUGAAAAGAAAUCCCCGGCUAUCCUCGGUGAGGAGAAAUAUUCCGCCAGGCUGAGGACAUUAAACCAGCCUAAAGAAGCCUCCCAGUACUGAGAUGGCCACUAAUGGAUCUUGAAGUUUGCCUGUGGAAGCCCCUGAUAUUCAAGUGUAUAAAUUGGAGUUUAUUUCAGUAAAUCACCACAGGACGUGAGGCAAAAAAAGCUGAGCAAGGCUGCAAAGUGCCCUGGGAAAUGGAGUUACUUGGAAUGGUCAGGAUGAAAUUUAGCUUCUGAGAGGAGUCAGGACUUGUCCUGUGGAAGCUGGAGUGAAAAGAAUGUAAGCAAGAGAGAAGCUGGCCUGCCCAAAUGCAAGUGCUCCUUGGCUGUGCAGGAUGGAGAUGCAUAACUUUUCCUGAGGAACUAGUGAUAAUCCAGGAUGCUGGCAGGCCAUCAAGCGCUGUUUCUACAAAGGCUUGUGCUGAUGCCACUGGAACUUUCAUAGCCAGCCUGCUUUUCCCCAUCCAAAGUGCAAGCAAGGCUGAAAAUGGAGAGCUAUUAAAAGCCCAAAAGUUCCAAAUCCAGGUGGAGAGUGGUGUGUCAGCUGCUGGGGAGGAAGGACGUUUGAGUGAAUGGGUAUUUGAGGUUCAUAUCCAGCCCUUUCAGAGCUGUAGAGAAAAGGGAAAUAAAUCCAGUGGAAACAAAUCAAGCAACAAUAUACAUCAAGAUAUCUCCUCUCAAUGUUUUUCAGCUGAAACCCUGCUCUAGGAUGGCUUAAAAAAAUUGAAAAUUGGAGAGUGGACAAAAGCAGCGCAUCCAUCCAUCCUUCCCAAAAUACAUCCAUAGGAGAUAUUUUUGUGCACUGCAGCUCUCAGAGCACACGUUUAGGGAGAAGUUUCCACGUCAGUUCCCCUCUGAGUCAGAAUCCAAGAUGGAAAGAUAUUCCCAAACACAGGAACAGCAUCUCUGCACGUAGCAGGACUUUUGUUUUUAUGGAAGACAUCUCUGAAGGCUUUUCAUCAAAACCAAUGUCCCCGUGCACAAAAGAUGUUGAAAAAUGUAUUUUUUGUCCAGUGAAUUCUUGUCUUUACUGUUUACAGGGUUUGUUAUUUAUAGUUUGGGGAGAAUAUAUAUUAAAUAAAUUAAAAUACUCUGGUUACA